RNAcentral lists this unclassified non-coding RNA (150 nucleotides) under uncultured Mycosphaerellaceae. Its description in RNAcentral is "sequence contains ITS2". Lineage: Eukaryota; Fungi; Ascomycota; Dothideomycetes; Mycosphaerellales; Mycosphaerellaceae. RNAcentral also lists the same sequence under 2 other names. The record is from RNAcentral.
CACCACUCAAGCCUAGCUUGGUAUUGGGCGCCGCGGCGAUCUCCAUCGCUGCGCGCCUUAAAGUCUCCGGCUGAGCAGUCUGUCUCCGAGCGUUGUGACACAUGUCGCUAGGGAGUGCAGGUCUGCCGCGGCCGUUAAAUCUUUAUCAAA